RNAcentral lists this long non-coding RNA (769 nucleotides) under Pan troglodytes (chimpanzee). RNAcentral describes it as "long non-coding RNA NONPTRT012497". The record is from RNAcentral. Lineage: Eukaryota; Metazoa; Chordata; Mammalia; Primates; Hominidae.
AAAAAAAUAAAAAUUAAAAAAAAUUAGCGAGGUGUGGUGGUGUGUUCCUGCAAUCCCAGCUACUCAGGAGGCUGAUGUGGGAGGAUGGCCUGAGCCUGGGAGGCAUUGGACUUCAUAAGAAUUAAAAACUUUUGUGUAUCAAAGGACAUAAUCAAGAAAAUGAAAGGACAACACAUAGAUAGGAGAAAAUAUUAAAUGAAAUACUGAUACGCACAACAAUAUUGAUGAAACUUGAAAACAUGACACUAAAUGAAAGAAGCUAGUCGUGAAUGGCCACAUAUUGUAUGAUUCUAUUUAUAUGAAACAUCCAGAAUAGGCAAGUCCAUUGAGACAGAAGGCAGAUUCAUGAUUUCCAGGGGCUGGGAAUGGAGGAUAUGGGGAGUGACUGCUUACUGAGUUUGGUUUUUGGUGUUUUUGUUUGUUUUUGCAGGCAGGUGAUGAAAAUGGUCUUGAAUUAUGUAGUGAUGAUAGUUACACAACAGUGUGAAUAUAAUAAAAACCACUGAAUUGUAUACUGUAAACAGUGGCAUGGCUGUUUGCACUAAAGGGUUGGGUAAUUUCUAAGUAGAUUAUUUUGGCUGUUGUCUCUUAUGCACAAGAGAUUCCCUCUAUAAAUGCUAGAGCACAUUUAGAAUCAGUUGCAUUUCCAGAAUUUCUCUCCUUAGGGGAGUGUCUUAUUUGGAAAGGGGACAUUAGGGGUUUAUUGGGAAGCUGAGUCUGCAUAGUACUCUAUAUAAGAUUGAGAAAGGGUCAAAUGGCCAAAUUUGAA